CCUACGGGAGGCUGCAGUGGGGAAUAUUUCACAAUGUGGGAAACCCUGAUGCAGCGACGCCGCGUGAGUGAAGAAGUAAUUCGUUAUGUAAAGCUCUAUCAGCAGGGAAGAAAAUGACGGUACCUGAGUAAGAAGCACCGGCUAACUACGGGCCAGCCGCCGCGGUAAUACGUAGGGGGCAAGCGUUAUCCGGCUUUACUGGGUGUAAAGGGAGCGGAGACGGCAGUGCAAUGCCAGAGUUAAAGGGGGGGGCUUAACCCCCGGACUGCUCUGGAAACUGUACGGCUGGAGUGCCGGAGAGGUAAGUGGAAUUCCUAGUGUAGCGGUGAAAUGCGUAGAUAUUAGGAGGAAAACCAGUGGCGAAGGCGGCUUACUGGACUGUAACUGACGUUGAGGCUCGAAAGCGUGGGGAGCAAACAGGAUUAGAUACCCUUGUAGUC
This 440-nucleotide ribosomal RNA is filed under the name uncultured bacterium. RNAcentral describes it as "partial 16S ribosomal RNA". It matches the Rfam family "Bacterial small subunit ribosomal RNA", at positions 338 to 795 of the family's 1533-position model. The record is from RNAcentral.